GCAUUGAGCUAGAACUCUUGAUUGCUGCCACAUGGAGUUGACUUUGUAACUGUGGGUUUGCUACUGUCACCUUCCCAGGAGGCACCUGCUGCACCUGAGACCAGGGUGCAUGUGCAAACCCCACCAUUUGCAUAUCUGAUUGAGACUCCACCCCCUUCCUUAUAAAAGGAGGUGGAAAGCAGGAAGGAGCUCUCUUUCUGCCGCGGACCCUGCUUAGGUGUAGCUCUCUCGUUUUGUGCUUGCUGUUUGCCGCAGGCGUAGGUGUCAAAGACUAAGAGUUCCUCUAAUGUUGCACGGAGCACCCUCGGAUGUGCCACGCCUGUGUAGACUCUGCUGCCACAGAGCUCGGACGGACCUUCCUGGCGACAGUCUUGACAAGAGGUGGGAGAAAUCUGGAGGUCUCCACUGAGCCUUCUCCAUGAUGAUGUCACAGAACAAGGACCCAUAUAUGGGGGCUACUCCAACUGCCAAGGCUAAUGGAAGGAAGUUCUAGGAGAGAGAUGCUGAGGGCAUUUCCGGAAUGGACCCCGAAGAGCAGAGCGCCGAGGCCACCACCAGGAAAUACCGGACCAGGCUUUUGUCCUUUCCUUGGGCAAGAGGAGAGGCAAGUUUUCCAAGCACGACAGCAGAAUCAGUCCUGAGUUUCUAAUUUGGGGAACUUUCUCCAAGCUGGAAAAUGUAUUAGAAGUCAAGGUCGAAAUGAGUUUACAUAUUCUACAUAUUUAACAGAUUUUGGAGAACAGCUUAGGGCGCCACGUUUUUCUCUUCGGAGUAGGGCAGCAGAUUGACAAAGGGGCUGUUUCCUCUUGCUCCGCCCUCUGCGGGGGUGGUGCCACCAGGGCUCUGAUCUGACCACGCCUCUUCAGGGAGCCCGGGAAGCCAGCCUCGUGCUUCCUUGCUGCCCGCCUUAUGAGAGCCAAGAGGAGCGGCCAGGGCAGUGCUGCAGAGGGGCACGCUGGCUGGCUGGUUCCCGGGGAUGUCCUGCACUGGCCGGGCCUUGAGAGGGGCUGGCCAGCGCCUGAGGGGCUCAGCAGAGGCCAUGCUAGGAGAGGCCAUGCGUGCUCUUCCAAAGGCCAUUUGCUGAGCAGAGAGCUGACUGCUGACCAGCGUGAAACGGGAGCCGCUAGCAGGCUCUGCAGCUCCCCACGGUCAGUGCCCUGGAACAGGGCCAGGAACAGAGCCGGGAGGACGCGGCUUGUGGGGGCUGAAGGAGGGACACAGGGGAGACUUGCACGUGAUUCUGAGGAUGCUGUUGUUACGCCUGCACGUCCUGGACGCUGAGGUUUGGAUGCCCAGCGUCACGCAUGGAAUUGUCACAGCCCUCCACGUGUGUGUACUGGCCCAGCCCAGCAGGAAGACUGAGUUAGCCCUGAGUGGUACAUCUUCUCUUUGCAGAACUGUGAUGCUCUAAGCCAAGCCAUCACAUGGUUCUAGGGGAACCCAUCUCUUUGGAAUGGGCUCCCCAAAUAGGGACCCUAUGGAAGCCAGAGAAGUUACAACAACAGCAGAAUAGGACCCAGAAUCUAUACAUCUAGAAGAAAAAGAUACUAGUAAAUUGCUGAAAAAAAAAAAAAGAAUCAGUCACUGAGAAAAAUGGAAAAAAGAUGUGAAUAAACAUUUCAGAGAAGAGAAAACACAGGUGGCCACUAAGGAAAAAAUGCUCACUCUCAUUAGCAAGCAGGGAAGUAUGAAUUUGAAAUGUAAAUUGGGGAUAUCAAUUUAUAUUUACUUAAUUGCCAAAAAAUAAAACAGUACAAGAUGUUGCUGAGUCCACAAAGCAGAGAGAAUUCUCCUGCAAGGCUGUUAGGACUUUCAAUCAGAACAAUUACAUCAAAAACAAUUUAGCAUUAAUUAGCAAAGUUGAUUCUGCAACUCAGCAAUUAUGCCACAAAGAGUAUAAUUGCAGGAGUAUGUAUAGUAUCAUUAUUUAUAGUAUUAAACAUUCAGAACAACCCAAUAUAUUCAUCAAUAGCAGAUUGAAUAAGUGCAUUUUGAUAUACUCAUAAAACAGGGCCCUAUGUAUCAUGAAAAUGGAGACAGCUCAGUUCUGUGUAUCAACAUGGAUGAUUUUUUUUCUGAUUUAUUUAUUUAUUUGAAAGAGUUACACAGAGAGAGGAAGAGACAGAGGGAGAGAGAAUCUCCCAUCUACUGGUUCACUCCCCAAAUCGCGAUGGCCAAGAUUGGGCAAGGCCAAAGCCAGGAGCCAGGAGCUUCUGUUGGGUCUCCCCCAUGGGUGCAGGGGUCCAAGAACUUGAGCCAUCUUUCGCUGCUUUCCCAGGUGCAUUACCAGGGAACUGGAUGAGAAGUGGAGCAGCGGGAAUUGAGUUGGCACUCAUAUGGGAUGCCAGAAUUGCAGGCAUGGGCCUUACAUCCCAACACUGGCCCCAACAUGGGUGAUUUUAGAAACAAAGUAAAAACACACAAAAAAGCAAGUCAUAAAGGAAUGUAUCCAAUAUGAUUACCCUUUCAUACGAAGUUGAAUGACAGGCAAAAAUCAGCAAUGUAUUUUUUUUUAAAGAUUUAUUUAUUUACUUGAAAGAUUUAUACAGAGAGA
Non-coding RNA from Oryctolagus cuniculus (rabbit), 2554 nucleotides. The record is from RefSeq and is a predicted model, not a curated record. NCBI's taxonomy places the organism in Eukaryota, Metazoa, Chordata, Mammalia, Lagomorpha, Leporidae.